GGGUUGUGAGGUUAAGCGACUAAGCGUACACGGUGGAUGCCCUGGCAGUCAGAGGCGAUGAAGGGCGUGCUAAUCUGCGAUAAGCGCCGGUAAGGUGAUAUGAACCGUUAUAACCGGCGAUACCCGAAUGGGGAAACCCAGUGUGACUCGUCACACUAUCAUUAACUGAAUCCAUAGGUUAAUGAGGCGAACCGGGGGAACUGAAACAUCUAAGUACCCCGAGGAAAAGAAAUCAACCGAGAUUCCCCCAGUAGCGGCGAGCGAACGGGGAGGAGCCCAGAGCCUGAAUCAGCAUGUGUGUUAGUGGAAGCGUCUGGAAAGGCGCGCGAUACAGGGUGACAGCCCCGUACACAAAAGCGCAUGUGCUGUGAGCUCGAUGAGUAGGGCGGGACACGUGGUAUCCUGUCUGAAUAUGGGGGGACCAUCCUCCAAGGCUAAAUACUCCUGACUGACCGAUAGUGAACCAGUACCGUGAGGGAAAGGCGAAAAGAACCCCGGCGAGGGGAGUGAAAAAGAACCUGAAACCGUGUACGUACAAGCAGUGGGAGCACCCUUUGGGGUGUGACUGCGUACCUUUUGUAUAAUGGGUCAGCGACUUAUAUUCUGUAGCAAGGUUAACCGAAUAGGGGAGCCGGAGGGAAACCGAGUCUUAAUUGGGCGUUAAGUUGCAGGGUAUAGACCCGAAACCCGGUGAUCUAGCCAUGGGCAGGUUGAAGGUUGGGUAACACUAACUGGAGGACCGAACCGACUAAUGUUGAAAAAUUAGCGGAUGACCUGUGGCUGGGGGUGAAAGGCCAAUCAAACCGGGAGAUAGCUGGUUCUCCCCGAAAGCUAUUUAGGUAGCGCCUCGUGAAUUCAUCUCCGGGGGUAGAGCACUGUUUCGGCUAGGGGGCCAUCCCGGCUUACCAACCCGAUGCAAACUGCGAAUACCGGAGAAUGUUAUCACGGGAGACACACGGCGGGUGCUAACGUCCGUCGUGAAGAGGGAAACAACCCAGACCGCCAGCUAAGGUCCCAAAGUCAUGGUUAAGUGGGAAACGAUGUGGGAAGGCCCAGACAGCCAGGAUGUUGGCUUAGAAGCAGCCAUCAUUUAAAGAAAGCGUAAUAGCUCACUGGUCGAGUCGGCCUGCGCGGAAGAUGUAACGGGGCUAAACCAUGCACCGAAGCUGCGGCAGCGAACGUAUCACUUAAAGCGAUUCAGCGGGUUACGAUUGACGGAGCGAAGCGACGUCAAAGCGUAUACAAAGUCGAGUCGGUUUAAGGAUACGUUCGUUGGGUAGGGGAGCGUUCUGUAAGCCUGUGAAGGUGGCCUGUGAGGGUUGCUGGAGGUAUCAGAAGUGCGAAUGCUGACAUAAGUAACGAUAAAGCGGGUGAAAAGCCCGCUCGCCGGAAGACCAAGGGUUCCUGUCCAACGUUAAUCGGGGCAGGGUGAGUCGACCCCUAAGGCGAGGCCGAAAGGCGUAGUCGAUGGGAAACGGGUUAAUAUUCCCGUACUUGGUGUUACUGCGAAGGGGGGACGGAGAAGGCUAUGUUGGCCGGGCGACGGUUGUCCCGGUUUAAGCGUGUAGGUGUGUGUUCCAGGUAAAUCCGGUUCACUUUAACACUGAGGCGUGACGACGAGGCACUACGGUGCUGAAGCAACAAAUGCCCUGCUUCCAGGAAAAGCCUCUAAGCAUCAGGUAACAUCAAAUCGUACCCCAAACCGACACAGGUGGUCAGGUAGAGAAUACCAAGGCGCUUGAGAGAACUCGGGUGAAGGAACUAGGCAAAAUGGUGCCGUAACUUCGGGAGAAGGCACGCUGACACGUAGGUGAAGUGAUUUACUCAUGGAGCUGAAGUCAGUCGAAGAUACCAGCUGGCUGCAACUGUUUAUUAAAAACACAGCACUGUGCAAACACGAAAGUGGACGUAUACGGUGUGACGCCUGCCCGGUGCCGGAAGGUUAAUUGAUGGGGUCAGCGCAAGCGAAGCUCCUGAUCGAAGCCCCGGUAAACGGCGGCCGUAACUAUAACGGUCCUAAGGUAGCGAAAUUCCUUGUCGGGUAAGUUCCGACCUGCACGAAUGGCGUAAUGAUGGCCAGGCUGUCUCCACCCGAGACUCAGUGAAAUUGAACUCGCUGUGAAGAUGCAGUGUACCCGCGGCAAGACGGAAAGACCCCGUGAACCUUUACUAUAGCUUGACACUGAACAUUGAGCCUUGAUGUGUAGGAUAGGUGGGAGGCUUUGAAGCGUGGACGCCAGUCUGCGUGGAGCCGACCUUGAAAUACCACCCUUUAAUGUUUGAUGUUCUAACGUGGACCCGUUACCCGGGUUGCGGACAGUGUCUGGUGGGUAGUUUGACUGGGGCGGUCUCCUCCUAAAGAGUAACGGAGGAGCACGAAGGUUGGCUAAUCCUGGUCGGACAUCAGGAGGUUAGUGCAAUGGCAUAAGCCAGCUUGACUGCGAGCGUGACGGCGCGAGCAGGUGCGAAAGCAGGUCAUAGUGAUCCGGUGGUUCUGAAUGGAAGGGCCAUCGCUCAACGGAUAAAAGGUACUCCGGGGAUAACAGGCUGAUACCGCCCAAGAGUUCAUAUCGACGGCGGUGUUUGGCACCUCGAUGUCGGCUCAUCACAUCCUGGGGCUGAAGUAGGUCCCAAGGGUAUGGCUGUUCGCCAUUUAAAGUGGUACGCGAGCUGGGUUUAGAACGUCGUGAGACAGUUCGGUCCCUAUCUGCCGUGGGCGCUGGAGAACUGAGGGGGGCUGCUCCUAGUACGAGAGGACCGGAGUGGACGCAUCACUGGUGUUCGGGUUGUCAUGCCAAUGGCACUGCCCGGUAGCUAAAUGCGGAAGAGAUAAGUGCUGAAAGCAUCUAAGCACGAAACUUGCCCCGAGAUGAGUUCUCCCUGAGACUUUAGGUCUCCUGAAGGAACGUUGAAGACGACGACGUUGAUAGGCCGGGUGUGUAAGCGCAGCGAUGCGUUGAGCUAACCGGUACUAAUGAACCGUGAGGCUUAACCUUACAACGCCGAAG
This 3008-nucleotide ribosomal RNA is filed under the name Salmonella enterica. RNAcentral describes it as "23S ribosomal RNA". It matches the Rfam family "Bacterial large subunit ribosomal RNA". The record is from RNAcentral. Lineage: Bacteria; Pseudomonadati; Pseudomonadota; Gammaproteobacteria; Enterobacterales; Enterobacteriaceae.